Molecule: ribosomal RNA, 194 nt
Filed under: uncultured bacterium
Lineage: Bacteria
Description: partial 16S ribosomal RNA
Rfam family: Bacterial small subunit ribosomal RNA
Source: RNAcentral
UGCAACUCGACUCCAUGAAGCUGGAUUCGCUAGUAAUCGCGCAUCAGCCAUGGCGCGGUGAAUACGUUCUCGGGCCUUGUACACACCGCCCGUCACACCAUGGGAGUCGGUAACACCCGAAGUCUGUAGCCUGACGCAAGAGGGCGCAGCCGAAGGUGGGAUUGAUGACUGGGGUGAAGUCGUAACAAGGUAAC